UGCAGCCUAAAUCCUCUUUCCACGAGGCCCGAGGUCCCAGGAGGACCAAUGGAAGACAGUCGUGCCAUUUGGAUGAAUUGCCAUAGGCCAUGAUGGCCGCCUUCAGGUGACGGUGGAAGCGCUCGACUAUACCGUUGGCACAUGGGUGAUAUGCAGUCGUGCGACAACGGUUGGUACCGAGGAGCUGCGUCAGUGAUGUGAAGAGGCGAGAUUCGAAUUGCCUGCCUCUAUCGGUGGUGAUCUGAGAAGGGACACCGAACCUUGCGACCCAGGUGGAAACAAAAGUGCGGGCGACCGUGGCGGCGGUGGCGUCUGGCAUGGGUACAGCCUCAGGCCAUCUGGUGUAUCGGUCGAUGCAAGUUAGCAGAUAUCGGUGAUUGUUUGAGGGCGGCAGGGGGCCGACAAUGUCGAUGUGAAUCUGUGUGAACCGGGCGCUCGGCAAGGGAAACUGGGAGAGCGGAGAAAUGGUGUGGCGGUGGACUUUUGCACGUUGACAGGAGAGGCAAGAUCGGGUCCAGUUACGAAUGUCAGUAUUCAUGGAAGGCCAGAAGUAACGAGCCGUAAUCAAACGCUGAGUUGCCCUGACUCCUGGAUGAGCGAGUUGAUGAAGCGCGGCGAAGAGGGGUCGCCGGAAGGCCUUCGGAACGAAGGGUCGCUCCGAGCCUGUGGAUGUGUCACAGUAAACAGGUGUGUCUAUUCCCGGAAAACAGAUGUCACGAAUGGCCCGGAAGGAAUGGCUGGAUAGUAGGUGUUGCAGCUCGGAAUCAGAUUGUUGAUGAUGAGCAACGUCAGCGAGGUUAAUGGGGGUGUGUUCCAAAGCCGAUAUGCGACUUAACGUGUCAGCUGGAACAUUGUCGCUGCCUUUUAUGUGCUUGAUCUCAGCAUUGAAUUCCGCUAGGUACGCCAGAUGCCGUACUUCCCUGGAGGAACGCCGAGAGCUGCCUGAACGAUAGGCGAAAACCAAGGGUUUGUGAUCUGUGAAGAUGGUGAAUGACCUGUCCUCGAGGUAGUAUCGAAAAUGCUUGACGGCCGUGAAGGCAGCGAGGAGCUCACGUCCAAACGUGCUGUAGCGCUCUUCUGUGGGGGAGAACUUUUUCGAGAAGAACGCGACAGGUUGCCACUGGCCCUCAACGCGUUGCUGCAAGACUGCGCCGAUGGCGUGGUUAGAGGCGUCCACCAUUAUAGACGUAGGUGCGUCCAUGACGGGAUGGAUCAAGGUCGUUGCCGACGCCAGUGCUUGUCUGGCUUCCUGAAAGGCUUGUAAGGUAUCGGAGGACCAGGAAAGCGUCGUGGCUCCCGACCUGGUCUGCCUCAGGAGCGCCUCAAGAGGUCGUAGUAUUAGCGCGCAGCGUGGAAUAAAACGCCUAUAAAAAUUGAUCAUUCCCAAGAAACGGCGGAGCUGGGUGAUGGACGACGGCAGAGGAAAGUUCUGGAUUUUCUCGACUUUGUUGGUAAGAGGGGAAAUUCCUCGAGCGUCUACUCUGUGUCCUAAGAACUCCAAGGCAGGAACUCCGAACUCGCAUUUGUCGGCAUUGAUCAGCAGCCCAUGGUCGGCCAGGCGUCCAAAUAAAGUUUGUAAAUGUUGAAGGUGUUCUUCGGGUGAAGCACUGGCCACUAGCAAGUCGUCGAGGUAGGCGAAUACGAAAGGUAGCCCGCGAGUGAUGUUGUCAAUGAACCGCUGAAAAGAUUGGGCAGCAUUCCGGAGGCCGGACGGCAUUCGGACAAACUCGAAGAGGCCGAAAGGGGUGACUAUUGCGGUUGUGGGAAUGUCUUCCUCGGCCAUUGGUAUCUGAUGGUAGGCUUUCAUUAAAUCGAUCUUCGAAAACAUCGUUGCACCGGAAAGACCCGUGGUGAAAUCAGAGCUGUUGGGCAAGGGGUAGCGGUCGGGAACAGUAGCCAAAUUUAGCGCGCGAUAGUCACCACAGGGCCGCCAGUCACCGGUCUUUUUGGGAACCAUGUGAAGGGGCGAAGACCAGCUACUAGAUGAUGGACGAAUGAUGCCGACAGCGAGCAUGUGGUCGAACUCUUGUCGCGCAAUAGCAAGUUUUUCGGGGCUUAGGCGACGUGCUUUUGCGAAUACUGGUUGGCCACUUGUUACGAUGUGGUGGGCGACGGGGUGCUUGACGGGCUUCGUCCAGUCACACGGGGCCGUCAAGGAUGGAAACUGUCGUAAAAGAUCGGCAAAAACAUUGUUCUGCGGAAGAGUGAUCGCGAGGCCGACAGAUGUAGCGCGCGUGCUUACGCCGUUGACCGUGACGCCAGUAAGGUGGUCCACCAGCCUUUGCCCAGCGACAUCAACCAAGAUUUUGUUGCGCCCUAGGAAAUCGCUGCCUAGGAUACAGUGCCGAGUGUCAGCAACGAGAAACACCCAGUGAAAUGUCCUGCGUAAUCCGAAGUCGAGAGACAAUGAACGACGGUAUUAAACAGGAAUUCUGGAGCCGUUUACUGCUGUGAGAUACAUGAUGGGCGUUCUGCUUCUGUCAGAUGGUGAGGCCGGGAGGACGCUGACCUCCGCUCCGGUGUCGACAAGGAAAUUGUGCUUGCCGCACCGAUUCUUGAUGAAGAAAAGGCGACCUUGCCGUAUGUGGUGGGGGCUUCCGGUCGCCGCUGGUAACCCCCGGCGUAGUUUCCCUGCCAUGCACACGGGGAUUCGCAUCGCCGAGCUGUGCGACCGAAACGGCUGUGGAACCAACAAAGGUGGCGUCGGCGCGUUGGCGGCGAAGUGGGAGGAGUCGGGGAACGUGCGGCACGGCGACGUUGAGUAGAACGGUCUGGACCUGAGGAAGUGCGGUCGCGGGGUCCGGAUCGCUCGAGUAUGUCUGCGAUGCGGCGGACUUCUUCCCGCAGCGAGGCCAGGUCAGAGCUUUCCGCUGCCGACACAGAGGAUGCGCCUUCAAGCGCUGCCAGCGCAGACGGGUUGUACGAGUCGGAGAACAGCUCCAUUGCCUUAUCCGCUCUGGUAGCUAAUGACACAAUGUCGGUCUCUUCCGUAACCGACAGAGCCAGCUGGACGGCAUGAGGAAGUUUUGAGAGGAAGAGCUCACGAAAGAGCUUGUCGUCAAAAGGAGCGGUUCCAAGGAUUUGUUGCAUGUAUCUGACGAGCUGUGAAGGUUUGCGGUCCCCCAAGGGCACCUUUGAGAAGAGCUCGUGCAGCCGCUGACGAUCGGACGGAAGAACCCUGCUGGUGACAGCACGCUUAAGGGCGUCGUAGGGAUCUUGUAAUGGAGGCGAGCUGAUGAUGUCGCUGACCUCGAGUAGCACGUCCUCGGAAAGGACAGACAAGAUGUGAUGGUACCUAGUCGAUUGGGUAGUGAUGCCGCCUAAAGGGAAUUGCGAUUCCGCCUGUUGAAACCAUAAGUCGGGGCGGGACCGAAUAAAUGGUGGCAGGCGGAUAGCGAAAUGCCCAACGCGGGCCACGGUAGGUGAACCUUACAUGUUGCCGUUCGAAUCGUUCGGGUCACCACUUUAGAGACAGAGAGCCUGUCCGGUUUGGUGAAGCAUCAGCGAGGAACUGAGCUCAUGCUUUAUUGCUCGAGCGGACAGCAUCAGCUGUCCUCGUCUUCGCCACAGGUGAAGUGGAAGACCGAGCGGAAUCCGCUCGGGGGGAGGAUAGCUGCGUCCAUGGGCCGACUUCAGGGGAACUGUGCCGGCAUACGCCUAUUACACAUCUGAGGGAAACCCAGGAAAAACCCCAGACGGCACAGCCGGCCCACGGAUUCGACCGCGGACCUCCCAGUCUCCAAGCGCACGCGUUACCGCUGCGCCACCGGAGCUGGUCCACAACAGAAAUGUUGAGAGAUUUACGUGCUUUCUGGGGCCACGACUGCUCAAAUUGAGUGACUGUCCAGGCACACUCUAAUUACAUGUUGCAAUUGAAUGCAUAGUUACUUGUUCCUUUUCAACUUUCCAGAAACCUUAAGCUGCUUGGGCUCAAAGGAAAAUGUCGAUCCAUCGUGUGCUAUUAAGAACAUCUCACAUACUUUGUUGAAUGAUUCAAGAUUACCACAAGUUAUUUGGAUCUGUCAUUGCUGGGAACAGCAAUCCUGCAAAGUGGCACUGGUUGCCUACCAGCUAGCCUCUGUGCGAGCAGGCCACUUCACCGUUACUUGAAGCUGCUGCCGACUAAAACAAACUGAGCAAGCUCCGUGCGCAUACGCCCACUGAUGUAGCCUGGAGGUAAAUUAUCUUGCUGAUGUGUUAGAUUUACUUCUUUGCAUACUUCAGUGCUCC
This is a long non-coding RNA of Ornithodoros turicata, 4230 nucleotides long. RefSeq lists it as uncharacterized. The record is from RefSeq and is a predicted model, not a curated record. Lineage: Eukaryota; Metazoa; Arthropoda; Arachnida; Ixodida; Argasidae. The transcript is spliced from 3 exons.